RNAcentral lists this long non-coding RNA (202 nucleotides) under Mytilus galloprovincialis (Mediterranean mussel). Lineage: Eukaryota; Metazoa; Mollusca; Bivalvia; Mytilida; Mytilidae. The record is from RNAcentral.
CGAAAAACAUGUCGAUAAUUGGCAUGCUGUUUUACAUUCUGAUAAAUCUAUAUCGGGCAGAGGUGGCAAUAAGCUACGAACAUACAGAUUGUUUAAGGAAAAUUUUAACCGGAGGAAAACUGCAAAAUAGCUUUACCCUUCAGUCACAGAAGUGCUUUCGCCAAAUUUAGAUGUGGUGUUGCUCCCCUAAGAAUUGAAACAG